RNAcentral lists this long non-coding RNA (521 nucleotides) under Olea europaea subsp. europaea. Lineage: Eukaryota; Viridiplantae; Streptophyta; Magnoliopsida; Lamiales; Oleaceae. The record is from RNAcentral.
CGCGACUCCAAAUAGCAGUAGAGGCAAUAAUCUAAAUGUAAGUAACAAAGGCUAUACUAGGUGAGCAGUAGAUGCGAUGCUCUAAAUAUAUAAGCAGCUUGUGAUAAGCUGCCAUCCUUACAUGAGUGUAGCGCAUCCAUGUCAAGGGCUACCUCCAUGGGGUUUGGUCCAGCCAUGUAAGGGCUUCCUGCACCAUCGUUUACCCAUGCUAAGGGCUUCCUGCAUGUUGGAUGGUUUAUUUAUGCAAAGGAUAAUAUAAGCUCUUUGAAAAUCAGUAAACGUGACAUAGCUGAAGAAGAAACUAAACUCUGAAAGAUAUGUAGUAAAAUACAUUCGAUGCCAAGUCAUGAUGAGUUCUUUGAAGAUAAAUACAUAUGUAAUUCUACAACUCAACAUCUCACAAAGUGAGGAAUGAAUAUCGAGCGGAUGGAUCAUCUAGAACUAUCAAAGUCUUAUAAGCUAGCCUAGAAAUACAGAUGUCUUAUAACUAAACUAGAUGACAGUAAGAAGCGAGGAAUAAG